This 973-nucleotide ribosomal RNA is filed under the name uncultured bacterium. Its description in RNAcentral is "bacterial SSU rRNA". It matches the Rfam family "Bacterial small subunit ribosomal RNA", at positions 534 to 1501 of the family's 1533-position model. The record is from RNAcentral.
GGGGGGGGGUUUCGGGAUUAUUGGGCGUAAGAGCUCGUAGGCGGUUUGUCGCGUCUGCCGUGAAAGUCCGGGGCUCAACUCCGGAUCUGCGGUGGGUACGGGCAGACUAGAGUGAUGUAGGGGAGACUGGAAUUCCUGGUGUAGCGGUGAAAUGCGCAGAUAUCAGGAGGAACACCGAUGGCGAAGGCAGGUCUCUGGGCAUUAACUGACGCUGAGGAGCGAAAGCAUGGGGAGCGAACAGGAUUAGAUACCCUGGUAGUCCAUGCCGUAAACGUUGGGCACUAGGUGUGGGGGACAUUCCACGUUUUCCGCGCCGUAGCUAACGCAUUAAGUGCCCCGCCUGGGGAGUACGGCCGCAAGGCUAAAACUCAAAGGAAUUGACGGGGGCCCGCACAAGCGGCGGAGCAUGCGGAUUAAUUCGAUGCAACGCGAAGAACCUUACCAAGGCUUGACAUGGGCCGGACCGGGCUGGAAACAGUCCUUCCCCUUUGGGGCCGGUUCACAGGUGGUGCAUGGUUGUCGUCAGCUCGUGUCGUGAGAUGUUGGGUUAAGUCCCGCAACGAGCGCAACCCUCGUUCCAUGUUGCCAGCGCGUAAUGGCGGGGACUCAUGGGAGACUGCCGGGGUCAACUCGGAGGAAGGUGGGGACGACGUCAAAUCAUCAUGCCCCUUAUGUCUUGGGCUUCACGCAUGCUACAAUGGCCGGUACAAAGGGUUGCGAUACUGUGAGGUGGAGCUAAUCCCAAAAAGCCGGUCUCAGUUCGGAUUGGGGUCUGCAACUCGACCCCAUGAAGUCGGAGUCGCUAGUAAUCGCAGAUCAGCAACGCUGCGGUGAAUACGUUCCCGGGCCUUGUACACACCGCCCGUCAAGUCACGAAAGUUGGUAACACCCGAAGCCGGUGGCCUAACCCCUUGUGGGAGGGAGCUGUCGAAGUGGGACUGGCGAUUGGGGACUAAGUCGUAACAAGGUAACC